Molecule: RNA transcript, 2121 nt
Organism: Osmerus eperlanus (European smelt)
Lineage: Eukaryota; Metazoa; Chordata; Actinopteri; Osmeriformes; Osmeridae
Gene name: zinc finger protein 184-like
Exons: 7
Source: RefSeq, a predicted model, not a curated record
ACUGACCGGAUAAGCUUGGUGUUUACAUCCGGCAUGAAUUUCGAAGAGGAAGCGGAAGUGCUAACCACGUUCAUGAGUGGACUGGCUUAAGUUGGGACGCAUGUCGAAGGGCAGUAUUAAAGCUUGUGGAUCACUAGUAUGCGCUGCAUUUGUUGCUUCAUCGCAGGCAAUAUAGAUAGAACCGGAGGACUUGAUCAUUAUAUCUGAGCUGGGCGUCGCUACUACUAUACAGUAAGAACUGUACUGGGCUAAGGAGAGAGCAGGAGCUAAUAAUAGCCAACAGUGUUGCGUAUCAGUUUUACACCGCUAAAAUGUCUAAAUCGGAUGAGUUUGGAGAAUUCAUCCGUGAUAUACUAACAAAGGGAGGUUUAAAGAUUUUUGGAGGAUUUGAAAAAACGUUUGCUGAGUACAAAGAAGAAUUCUCUCGUUCCGAGGAGGAGAGGAAGCGGCUACAACGGCUGUUGGACGUUGUUUCUCCACCCAAGAUCAAGCGACGUCGAACAGAAGUGAAGCAGCUCUCUCUCCCGGAGCCCCCACAGAUUAAAGAGGAACAGGAGCUGUGGACCAGUCAGGAGGAAGAGCAGCUCCAAGGACUGCAGUCUGAAACUACAGACUCCAUAUUCACCAGGGACUCCAACUUGCAUAUCAGAGCAUUUCUCAGUGAGAGAUUAACAACAGCAGCUUCAGAGAUUUUUGGGGCCAUUGAAAUAACAUUUGCUGAGUACCAAGAAGAAAUCUCUCGUUCUGAGGAGGAGAGGAAACGGAUACAACGGCUGUUGGACGUUGUUGCUCAACCUGAGAUCAAGCUACACCGAACAGAAGUGCAGCAGCUCUCUCUCCUUGAGCCCCCACAGAUUAAAGAGGAACAGGAGCUGUGGACCAGUCAGGAGGAAGAGCAGCUCCAAGGACUGAAGUCUGAAACUACAGACUCCAUACUCACUUCUCCCAGUGUGAAAUGUGAUUCGGAUCAAGAUGGCUCAGUUGAAUGUUCACAUCUUGACCAAGCUGUCCAAGUGGACAACAGAGAAGGAGACUCUCUACACACCAACACAACUGAGGAGCAAAUAAAAGCAGAGACUCAUGUACAAGACUCUCCAGCACCAGAACCAGGCAGUGACUCUCAGCCCCUUUCUGUUGUAGAUCAGAGUUUUUCUAUUCUAGAAACUUUAGAAUCCAAGAGAACACGGGAAAACGAGGCUGUCUCAUGGGAUAGUCUGUUUCAAGAAUGCAGUGUAGCUCCAGACUGUCCUGCAGAUGGAGGAGUGAUGCUUUUACAGAACAGAACACAAAACAAUGAGGCUCUUCCAAGGGACAAUAGACCACAGGGAAGUCACACAGGAAAAACAAUACAUCAGUGUCAACAAUGUAACAAACGAUUUGCUGACAAAGGUAAUCUUGUUAGUCACAUUAAAAGACACAAAGGAGGGAAACCUUUUCAGUGUCAACAAUGUUACAAACAAUUUGCUCAGAAAGGUACUCUUGUUGAUCACAUGAGAACACACACAGGAGAGAAACCUUUUCAGUGUCAACAAUGUAACAAACGAUUUGCUCACAAAAGUACUCUUGUUAGUCACAUGAGAACACACACAGGAGAAAAACCUUAUCAGUGUCAACAAUGUAACAAACGAUUUGCUCACAAAAUAAGUAUUGUUGGUCACAUGAAGACACACAGGAGAGAUACCAUAUUGUGAAUGAUGUAAUGUUUUAUGCCAGAAGACGGUUGAAUGACAGAUUUCCCUAGAGGCCUGAGGAAGACUGAUGUGUAGAUGACACUGAACAUAGGAGGGGGGAAACUCUUUUCACAGGUAAAUCUGUUCCCCACAUAAUGAUCACAGUAACAUACAUCACCAGUAUCACUAUUGCUUUAUAAAUGACCAGACUGUAAUGUACAGGGGGGGAAGCACUUUCCUCAGGCCUCCAGGGAAAUCAGUUCCCCCUGUGUUCUCAGUGUAAAAGACUCUUGUGCUCUGCUUUACUCUACUCCGUUUUAGGCUUUUCUUCUCCCCUCUUUCCUCUUCUCUCUCCUCUUCUUACACCGUGUGUGGGGAAAAAAAGUUUAGAAAAGUGGAAAAUAAUAUUUUUUGAAAGGUUGAAAAAGUGUUUUUGAAAAAUAAUUUAUAC